AGAGUUUGAUCCUGGCUCAGGACGAACGCUGGCGGCGCGCCUAAUACAUGCAGGUCGAGCGAGAACCAGGGCUUGCCCUGGGGAGAGCGGCGAACGGGUGCGUAUCACGUGAGCAACCUGCCUCGGAGACCGGAAUAACUCGAGGAAACUCGGGCUAAUGCCGGAUGCCCUCGGUGGACCGCAUGGUCCGGCGAGGAAAUGGAUUCCGCUCCGAGAUGGGCUCGCGGCCUAUCAGCUUGUUGGUGGGGUAACGGCCUACCAAGGCAACGACGGGUAGCUGGUCUGAGAGGACGAUCAGCCACACUGGGACUGAGACACGGCCCAGACUCCUACGGGAGGCAGCAGUAGGGAAUCUUGCGCAAUGGGCGAAAGCCUGACGCAGCGACGCCGCGUGCGGGAUGAAGGCCUUCGGGUCGUAAACCGCUUUCAGCAGGGACGAAAUUGACGGUACCUGCAGAAGAAGGCCCGGCCAACUACGUGCCAGCAGCCGCGGUAAU
This 497-nucleotide ribosomal RNA is filed under the name uncultured soil bacterium. Its description in RNAcentral is "bacterial SSU rRNA". It matches the Rfam family "Bacterial small subunit ribosomal RNA", at positions 8 to 524 of the family's 1533-position model. The record is from RNAcentral.